UGGCUCAGUCGGUUAGAGCGUGGUGCUGAUAACACCAAAGUCACAGGUUCGAUCCCCGU
Molecule: transfer RNA, 59 nt
Filed under: Apaloderma vittatum (bar-tailed trogon)
Lineage: Eukaryota; Metazoa; Chordata; Aves; Trogoniformes; Trogonidae
Rfam family: tRNA
About the family: Transfer RNA (tRNA) molecules are approximately 80 nucleotides in length. Their secondary structure includes four short double-helical elements and three loops (D, anti-codon, and T loops).
Source: Rfam by way of RNAcentral